GAUGAACGCUGGCGGCGUGCCUAAUACAUGCAAGUCGAGCGAACGGACGAGAAGCUUGCUUCUCUGAUGUUAGCGGCGGACGGGUGAGUAACACGUGGAUAACCUACCUAUAAGACUGGGAUAACUUCGGGAAACCGGAGCUAAUACCGGAUAAUAUUUUGAACCGCAUGGUUCAAAAGUGAAAGACGGUCUUGCUGUCACUUAUAGAUGGAUCCGCGCUGCAUUAGCUAGUUGGUAAGGUAACGGCUUACCAAGGCAACGAUGCAUAGCCGACCUGAGAGGGUGAUCGGCCACACUGGAACUGAGACACGGUCCAGACUCCUACGGGAGGCAGCAGUAGGGAAUCUUCCGCAAUGGGCGAAAGCCUGACGGAGCAACGCCGCGUGAGUGAUGAAGGUCUUCGGAUCGUAAAACUCUGUUAUUAGGGAAGAACAUAUGUGUAAGUAACUGUGCACAUCUUGACGGUACCUAAUCAGAAAGCCACGGCUAACUACGUGCCAGCAGCCGCGGUAAUACGUAGGUGGCAAGCGUUAUCCGGAAUUAUUGGGCGUAAAGCGCGCGUAGGCGGUUUUUUAAGUCUGAUGUGAAAGCCCACGGCUCAACCGUGGAGGGUCAUUGGAAACUGGAAAACUUGAGUGCAGAAGAGGAAUGUGGAAUUCCAUGUGUAGCGGUGAAAUGCGCAGAGAUAUGGAGGAACACCAGUGGCGAAGGCGACUUUCUGGUCUGUAACUGACGCUGAUGUGCGAAAGCGUGGGGAUCAAACAGGAUUAGAUACCCUGGUAGUCCACGCCGUAAACGAUGAGUGCUAAGUGUUAGGGGGUUUCCGCCCCUUAGUGCUGCAGCUAACGCAUUAAGCACUCCGCCUGGGGAGUACGACCGCAAGGUUGAAACUCAAAGGAAUUGACGGGGACCCGCACAAGCGGUGGAGCAUGUGGUUUAAUUCGAAGCAACGCGAAGAACCUUACCAAAUCUUGACAUCCUUUGACAACUCUAGAGAUAGAGCCUUCCCCUUCGGGGGACAAAGUGACAGGUGGUGCAUGGUUGUCGUCAGCUCGUGUCGUGAGAUGUUGGGUUAAGUCCCGCAACGAGCGCAACCCUUAAGCUUAGUUGCCAUCAUUAAGUUGGGCACUCUAAGUUGACUGCCGGUGACAAACCGGAGGAAGGUGGGGAUGACGUCAAAUCAUCAUGCCCCUUAUGAUUUGGGCUACACACGUGCUACAAUGGACAAUACAAAGGGCAGCGAAACCGCGAGGUCAAGCAAAUCCCAUAAAGUUGUUCUCAGUUCGGAUUGUAGUCUGCAACUCGACUACAUGAAGCUGGAAUCGCUAGUAAUCGUAGAUCAGCAUGCUACGGUGAAUACGUUCCCGGGUCU
Molecule: ribosomal RNA, 1372 nt
Filed under: uncultured bacterium
Lineage: Bacteria
Description: bacterial SSU rRNA
Rfam family: Bacterial small subunit ribosomal RNA
Source: RNAcentral